CAGGGAUUGCCUCAGUAACGGCGAGUGAAGCGGCAACAGCUCAAAUUUUAAAGCUGACGUCUUUGGCGUCCGCGUUGUAAUUUGGAGAGGCAUCUUCGGUUUGGGCGCCAGCCUAUGUUCCUUGGAACAGGACGUCACAGAGGGUGAGAAUCCCGUGCCUGGCUGGCUGUCCCUUUCCAUGUGAAGUGCCUUCGACGAGUCGAGUUGUUUGGGAAUGCAGCUCAAAAUGGGUGGUAAAUUUCAUCUAAAGCUAAAUAUUGGCGGGAGACCGAUAGCGCACAAGUAGAGUGAUCGAAAGAUGAAAAGCACUUUGAAAAUAGAGUUAAAAAGUACGUGAAAUUGUUGAAAGGGAAGCGCUUGAGACCAGACUCGGCCGGAGAUGAUCAGCCGUCCUUCUGGGCGGUGCACUCGUUUCCGGCCGGGCCAGCAUCGGUUGAGACGGCGGGAUAAAGGCCCGGGGAAUGUGGCUCCUUUCGGGGAGUGUUAUAGCCCCGGGCGCAAUGCCGCCAGCCUCGACCGAGGACCGCGCUUCAUUGCUAGGAUGCUGGCGUAAUGGUCUUCAGCGACCCGUCUUGAAACACGGACCAAGGAGUCUAACAUCUAUGCGAGUGUUUGGGUGUCAAACCCUUGCGCGUAAUGAAAGUGAACGGAGGUGGGAACCCCUCGCGGGGCGCACCAUCGACCGGUCCUGAUGUCUUCGGAUGGAUCUGAGUAGGAGCAUAGCUGUUGGGACCCGAAAGAUGGUGAACUAUGCCUGAAUAGGGUGAAGCCAGAGGAAACUCUGGUGGAGGCUCGCAGCGGUUCUGACGUGCAAAUCGAUCGUCAAAUUUGGGUAUAGGGGCGAAAGACUAAUCGAACC
RNAcentral lists this ribosomal RNA (859 nucleotides) under Gyromitra venenata. Its description in RNAcentral is "partial large subunit ribosomal RNA". It matches the Rfam family "Eukaryotic large subunit ribosomal RNA", at positions 69 to 941 of the family's 3401-position model. The record is from RNAcentral. Lineage: Eukaryota; Fungi; Ascomycota; Pezizomycetes; Pezizales; Discinaceae.